AUGGCUGCAACCAUGAAUUCCAGUGCUAGCCUCCCUGUUCCACUGCCCGACUUGGGCAAGUAACUCUGCCUGGCUUACAUCUGUAUGUAGUCUGAGGAAACACGCGAAUUGAGUUUUAAUAGAAACUGAUGAUUGAUGACAAGAAAUAUUACUUAUCUGGGAGAAACCCAGAUAUGUGUGACCCUACCAUUGACCAUUACUCUCGAGUCCAUGGGCUCUGGUCUACUACAAACAGCUGAAGAGAGUUUUAUUGCUAGAUCUCAACAGUAUACAUGGCAUCUUCUUACAUCACAUUAGGCUGGAUCCUCACAAACCCCAGCAAACCCCCAUCGUUUCUACGGUCUUAUUUGGCACAUCCACAAGAGCAAAAAUGCUGCGGGAGAAGCCUCAGACAUUGCCAUUGCCUGGGAAAGGAAAUGAGAAGAAGGGUGGAGAGCAUCGUGAACUCAAGGGCUUACUGGGGCUUUCAGAAGAGGAAACAGAACUUGAUAACCAGACAGAGUUCAACACUGCCCACAACAAGCAGUUUUCAACCUUCACCACUGAGAAGAGAAAUCCGGACAUUCAGAGACCAAAGAGGAAGAGGAGGAACUCGCGAGUGACGUUCAGUGACAAGGAUGAAAUCAUCAACCCAGAGGCUGUGGAUAACUCAGUUGGUCACUACCCGAACAUGGUGCAAAUGGCAGUGGUCUCAGUAAAGAAGAAGUGGGAGGAAGUCCAUGGCUCCCUGGGCCUGGGAGAGUCAGGCAGCGGACGCAGACAGAACUUUGCCUUCAGCAGAGGACUUUAUGGGGGCUUGCCACCCCCCCCCCACACACACACUCACAGGGAAGCAGUCUCUCAGCAACAUGGCAUCCAUGGGAUGGUGCUCAUCAGCGGCUUGCCCAUGCCAUACCCAAACCUUGCCCCAGAUGUGGACUUGACUCCUGUGUGCUGUCGGUAGUGAACAUGAACCCCACACUAAACCCUGCUGUCUAUAAUCCUGAAGCUGUAAACGAACCCAAGGCAUGCCCGUCUAGAAGCCUACUCCUUCCUUACUGA
Molecule: RNA transcript, 1041 nt
Organism: Dipodomys spectabilis (banner-tailed kangaroo rat)
Lineage: Eukaryota; Metazoa; Chordata; Mammalia; Rodentia; Heteromyidae
Gene name: nuclear inhibitor of protein phosphatase 1-like
Exons: 2
Source: RefSeq, a predicted model, not a curated record